RNAcentral lists this ribosomal RNA (1109 nucleotides) under Shigella boydii. RNAcentral's name for it is "bacterial SSU rRNA". It matches the Rfam family "Bacterial small subunit ribosomal RNA", at positions 439 to 1533 of the family's 1533-position model. Lineage: Bacteria; Pseudomonadati; Pseudomonadota; Gammaproteobacteria; Enterobacterales; Enterobacteriaceae. The record is from RNAcentral.
GGAGGAAGGGAGUAAAGUUAAUACCUUUGCUCAUUGACGUUAUCCGCAGAAGAAGCACCGGCUAACUCCGUGCCAGCAGCCGCGGUAAUACGGAGGGUGCAAGCGUUAAUCGGAAUUACUGGGCGUAAAGCGCACGCAGGCGGUUUGUUAAGUCAGAUGUGAAAUCCCCGGGCUCAACCUGGGAACUGCAUCUGAUACUGGCAAGCUUGAGUCUCGUAGAGGGGGGUAGAAUUCUAGGUGUAGCGGUGAAAUGCGUAGAGAUCUGGAGGAAUACCGGUGGCGAAGGCGGCCCCCUGGACGAAGACUGACGCUCAGGUGCGAAAGCGUGGGGAGCAAACAGGAUUAGAUACCCUGGUAGUCCACGCCGUAAACGAUGUCGACUUGGAGGUUGUGCCCUUGAGGCGUGGCUUCCGGAGCUAACGCGUUAAGUCGACCGCCUGGGGAGUACGGCCGCAAGGUUAAAACUCAAAUGAAUUGACGGGGGCCCGCACAAGCGGUGGAGCAUGUGGUUUAAUUCGAUGCAACGCGAAGAACCUUACCUGGUCUUGACAUCCACGGAAGUUUUCAGAGAUGAGAAUGUGCCUUCGGGAACCGUGAGACAGGUGCUGCAUGGCUGUCGUCAGCUCGUGUUGUGAAAUGUUGGGUUAAGUCCCGCAACGAGCGCAACCCUUAUCCUUUGUUGCCAGCGGUCCGGCCGGGAACUCAAAGGAGACUGCCAGUGAUAAACUGGAGGAAGGUGGGGACGACGUCAAGUCAUCAUGGCCCUUACGACCAGGGCUACACACGUGCUACAAUGGCGCAUACAAAGAGAAGCGACCUCGCGAGAGCAAGCGGACCUCAUAAAGUGCGUCGUAGUCCGGAUUGGAGUCUGCAACUCGACUCCAUGAAGUCGGAAUCGCUAGUAAUCGUGGAUCAGAAUGCCACGGUGAAUACGUUCCCGGGCCUUGUACACACCGCCCGUCACACCAUGGGAGUGGGUUGCAAAAGAAGUAGGUAGCUUAACCUUCGGGAGGGCGCUUACCACUUUGUGAUUCAUGACUGGGGUGAAGUCGUAACAAGGUAACCGUAGGGGAACCUGCGGUUGGAUCACCUCCUUACCUUAAAGAAGC